This 490-nucleotide ribosomal RNA is filed under the name uncultured bacterium. RNAcentral's name for it is "partial 16S ribosomal RNA". It matches the Rfam family "Bacterial small subunit ribosomal RNA", at positions 28 to 507 of the family's 1533-position model. The record is from RNAcentral.
GAUGAACGCUAGCUACAGGCUUAACACAUGCAAGUCGCGGGGCAGCAUGGGGGUUGCUUGCAAUCCCCGAUGGCGACCGGCGCACGGGUGAGUAACGCGUAUCCAACCUGCCCUUCACCACGGGAUAACCCGGCGAAAGUCGGACUAAUACCGUAUGUUGUCCAUUGACGGCAUCCGAUUUGGACGAAAGGCUUGGCGGUGAGGGAUGGGGAUGCGUCCGAUUAGCCAGACGGCGGGGUAACGGCCCACCGUGGCUACGAUCGGUAGGGGUUCUGAGAGGAAGGUCCCCCACACUGGAACUGAGACACGGUCCAGACUCCUACGGGAGGCAGCAGUGAGGAAUAUUGGUCAAUGGGCGUAAGCCCGAACCAGCCAAGUAGCGUGCAGGAUGACGGCCCUAUGGGUUGUAAACUGCUUUUAUGCGGGGAUAAAGUGGCCCACGUGUGGGCUUUUGCAGGUACCGCAUGAAUAAGGACCGGCUAAUUCCGUG